GAUGAACGCUGGCGGCGUGCCUAACACAUGCAAGUCGAACGGUGAGGCGCGGAGCUUUUUGGUGGGUGGGGAGGAGCGGCGAAGUGGGGAGCAAGAGGUUAGUAACCUUCUACGUCUGGGAGGACAACCGCAAGAAGGUGUGGCUAAUAGGGGAUAUUCUGGGUCUCAUGCAUGAUGGGUCAGGGAAGGAUUUUGUGUCGGUGGUGGAUGGGCUCGCGGCCUAUUAGCUUGUUGGUGGGGUAAUGGCGUACCAAGGCGGCGAUGCGUAGCCGGCCUGAGAGGAUGGUCGGCCACACCAGAGCUGAGACACGGCCCAGACGCCUACGGCAGGCAGCAGUAGUGAAUCUUACUCAACGGGCGGAGGCCGGAUGAAGCAGCGCCGCGUGGUGGAUGAUGGUCUUCGUCUGGUAGAGCUCUUCUAUCGGGGAAGAAGCAGGGCUGACUUAUUUGUGCGCGUCUUGACGGUACCUGAACAAGAAGCCCCGGCUAACUACGUG
RNAcentral lists this ribosomal RNA (497 nucleotides) under uncultured bacterium. RNAcentral's name for it is "partial 16S ribosomal RNA". It matches the Rfam family "Bacterial small subunit ribosomal RNA", at positions 28 to 507 of the family's 1533-position model. The record is from RNAcentral.